ACUGGUAAAUCAGAAAAGAUCACCAUUACAAACGAAAAGGGACGUCUUAGCCAGGAAGAAAUAGAUAGAAUGGUUCGUGAAGCAGAAGAGUUUGCCGAGGAAGACAAGAAGGUGAAGGAGAGGAUCGAUGCUCGCAACAGUCUUGAAACCUACGUAUACAACAUGAAGAAUCAGGUCAGUGACAAGGACAAGCUCGCGGACAAGUUGGAGUCAGAUGAAAAGGAGAAAAUUGAGACUGCAGUGAAAGAAGCAUUGGAAUGGCUGGAUGACAACCAGAGUGUGGAGAAAGAAGAUUAUGAAGAGAAGCUGAAGGAGGUUGAAGCCGUUUGCAACCCAAUCAUCAGUGCUGUGUAUCAGAGAUCAGGAGGAGCCCCAGGUGGUGCAGGUGGCGAAGGCGAAGACGAGGAUGAUUCUCACGAUGAG
This 423-nucleotide long non-coding RNA is filed under the name Glycine max (soybean). RNAcentral describes it as "long non-coding RNA (GMAX_LNC001633)". The record is from RNAcentral. Lineage: Eukaryota; Viridiplantae; Streptophyta; Magnoliopsida; Fabales; Fabaceae.